CGGCGAGUGAAGCGGGAAGAGCUCAAGCUUAAAAUCUCCGUGCAAGUUUUGUGCGGCGAAUUGUAGUCUAUAGAGGCGUGGUCAGCGUGGGCGCUUGGGGCAAGUUCCUUGGAAGAGGACAGCAUGGAGGGUGAUACUCCCGUUCAUCCCUGAGUGGCUCGUGCGUACGACCCGUUUUCUUUGAGUCGCGUUGUUUGGGAAUGCAGCGCAAAGUAGGUGGUAAAUUCCAUCUAAAGCUAAAUAUUGGUGCGAGACCGAUAGCGAACAAGUACCGUGAGGGAAAGAUGAAAAGAACUUUGAAAAGAGAGUUAAAGAGUACCUGAAACUGCUGAAAGGGAACCGAAUCGUUUCCAGUGUCUAUAAUCUGUGGCAUAUUUCAUUGGCGAGCGUUUGCGUGCGUGUGCUGUGGCAGUGGCUUUUUUGGCUGCGCCUGGUGUGUGUGGUGUGAGUGUUUGCUGGUGCCCUGUGCUGCGGUGGGACGUCAAGGUCAGUUCGUAUGCUGCGGGAAAUGGCUGCCGAGGAGGUAGGGCUUACGCUCCGCGUUUGUCUGUUAUAUCUUGGUGGACGAGUCGUCGCGGUUGGGACUGAGGUGCCUACAACGUGCUUUUGAGUGGGUUUGUGUCUCCGUGUGCGCCGUGUGCGGAUAGCUUGCUAUGCGUGUGUGGUUGUGUGUGGAUUGAUGCGGGCCUUAACUUGUCGCCGUUCGGGACGUUGACGAAAAUGGAGCGAUCCGACCCGUCUUGAAACACGGAACCAA
RNAcentral lists this ribosomal RNA (757 nucleotides) under Phytophthora colocasiae. RNAcentral describes it as "eukaryotic LSU rRNA". It matches the Rfam family "Eukaryotic large subunit ribosomal RNA", at positions 87 to 670 of the family's 3401-position model. The record is from RNAcentral. Lineage: Eukaryota; Oomycota; Peronosporomycetes; Peronosporales; Peronosporaceae.